This 463-nucleotide ribosomal RNA is filed under the name uncultured bacterium. Its description in RNAcentral is "partial 16S ribosomal RNA". It matches the Rfam family "Bacterial small subunit ribosomal RNA", at positions 339 to 795 of the family's 1533-position model. The record is from RNAcentral.
CUACGGGGUGCUGCAGUGGGGAAUCUUGGACAAUGGGCGCAAGCCUGAUCCAGCAAUACCGUGUGUGUGAAGAAGGCCUUCGGGUUGUAAAGCACUUUCAGCGGGGAAGAAAAACUUGAAACGAAUAAUUUCAAGGUUGACGUUACCCGCAGAAGAAGCACUGGCUAACUCUGUGCCAGCAGCCGCGGUAAUACAGAGAGUGCGAGCGUUAAUCGGAAUUACUGGGCGUAAAGCGCGCGUAGGUGGAGCUUUAAGUCGAUUGUGAAAUCCCCGGGCUUAACUUGGGAAUUGCAUUCGAUACUGACGUUCUAGAGUAUGGUAGAGGGGAGUGGAAUUUCCGGUGUAGCGGUGAAAUGCGUAGAUAUCGGAAAGAACACCAGUGGCGAAAGCGGCUCCCUGGACCAAUACUGACACUUAGGCGCGAAAGCGUGGGGAGCAAACAGGAUUAGAUACCCGAGUAGUC